AUUGAACGCUGGCGGCAGGCCUAACACAUGCAAGUCGAGCGGAUGAAGGGAGCUUGCUCCUGGAUUCAGCGGCGGACGGGUGAGUAAUGCCUAGGAAUCUGCCUGGUAGUGGGGGAUAACGUCCGGAAACGGGCGCUAAUACCGCAUACGUCCUGAGGGCGAAAGUGGGGGAGCUUCGGACCUCACGCUAUCAGAUGAGCCUAGGUCGGAUUAGCUAGUUGGUGGGGUAAAGGCCUACCAAGGCGACGAUCCGUAACUGGUCUGAGAGGAUGAUCAGUCACACUGGAACUGAGACACGGCCCAGACUCCUACGGGAGGCAGCAGUGGGGAAUAUUGGACAAUGGGCGAAAGCCUGAUCCAGCCAUGCCGCGUGUGUGAAGAAGGUCUUCGGAUUGUAAAGCACUUUAAGUUGGGAGGAAGGGCAGUAAGUUAAUACCUUGCUGUUUUGACGUUACCAACAGAAUAAGCACCGGCUAACUUCGUG
This 484-nucleotide ribosomal RNA is filed under the name uncultured bacterium. RNAcentral describes it as "partial 16S ribosomal RNA". It matches the Rfam family "Bacterial small subunit ribosomal RNA", at positions 30 to 507 of the family's 1533-position model. The record is from RNAcentral.